UAAUGUUUAAAUUGAAAUCUCUCACCACGAGAUCGUUUCGGCUUGAAAUGCCAGCACUGAGUAAUUGCUGGAGAUCGGGAAGUUAGAGAGGAAAAUGGAAAGCCACGCGACGGGGCACAGCAAAUUCAGCGCUGGGCCAAUCAAGAAGUCAACGUCUGUGUGGGGAAGUGGUAGGGGAGAAGACGGGAGAAGAAAAUCCAAGCAAAUCCAAGUAGAAACAAACAAACAAAUCCACCAGAUGCAUUUGCUCUGCACAGAUACAAUUUAGAUAAUUUGUAUCUCAACAUUGUUGUCAGGCUGCGAGCGCUGACUGACAGAUGUUUUGAUUUGUGGGGGCCAAGAACACAUUUGCCCCAUUUCUUGGUAUGCGAAUGAAGUGUAUUUGUAUGCGGUAAAUGGUGAAUGCUAGCUGGUAUAUAAUAUCCCCGAGAUGCGCAGCAGUGCCUCUUGAAAUCAAAACAAAUAUCGAAAGAUGCCAAGCACCCAAUUAAACCGCUAGCCAGCGGAAUCAGUGAGAGAUUUAUGAGCAAUGCUCCUGGUAUUUAUGGCCCACUCUUGAAUUCCAUCCCCAGAAAGGAUGGGGCCACUCGCUUGGGAGUCACUAGAGCUCAAGCCCAUUAAAAGCGCAUAAAACACGAAGCUAACUAAAACGUUAAACACUUGCAUGUUUGUUGUUUUCGCAAGCGGGUGAAAAUAAAUAUAUCAGAUCAGCAAUCAAUACCUGGCGGGCACUCUCCGGAUAAGAUUGGGAUUCUGCCUGGCCAAUUAACGCCAUCAAAUCGUCGAACACCCAUCGCGAUCCAUUUGGGAGCAGCCAAUUGAAAUGCCGCAUAGCAAUCUGCAUGAAUUUGAAAGGCGUUUUUCAUAAUGCCCGCAAACGAUUUGAGGUAGGAAAAUCCCAUUACGAGCUGAUGUAUCACAUGAGCGUUGAAUUUCAGAAACUAUUAGAUUCCGAAAUAGAAAAUCACUCUCUUCGCCCUUUUAAGUUUGUUUUUAGAUAUAGUCGAUUACCUCGUCUAUCAGAUACCUAUUACUCAGCCGGUCGCACAUUGAUAUAAAUUGCCAAUAAAAUUAAGGAAAGGGUAAAAGUGAAAACAUUUUUAAAAAUUGGGAGCAUGCCUGCUGUUUGCGGCUUUUUAUUGGCUUAUUUACAGAAAUAACCAAGUCAAAUAGCAAAAUAAAAAAUCGUUUACACAAACUUAUUGUCUUGGAGUAUUCGAAUAGUGAUCCUGAUCAAGAAUAUAUGUACAUACAUAUAUACCUAUGUAUUCGGAAACUCUUCCGUCUUUCCUUUAUGUAUAGCAUUCUCUCUUGUUUUUUAUGCGUUAUAUCGGUAAUUAGGUAUAUUUUGGUGAAUGUGCUUGACCAUAUAUUUAAAUCUUUAAAUUGCUUGUUUUAGUUAAGCAUUUUAUUAUUCAAAGCGGAAAUCUGAAAAGGAAAGAACGCAUAAAUCUAUGGAGAAUGCCAGCACGGGUACAGCAGUAAAUAACACCACUGGUUAAUACCUCCGAUUUCAAUUGUAUUUGAAUGGCCCAGGUCAAUUGAUCACUGCCACCACCACCACCCACUUAGAGCUCCGUGUUGUUUAUAUGUGCGCCCACAAAUCAAGGCAUAACCUUAAAACAAUAACCCAUUCAUACAUCAGCGUCACAGCGAGACAGUUUAUUUGCUUAAUUUUGUUUUAUAAACUCACCUGCCUCGGCACUUGCCUUCUUUGUGGAGACAUCAAUCAAGCAGGAAGCAGGGGAACGCCGGCCGGAGAAAUCGAAAUACUAGCGCCGUUUUUUAUGGAAGCCCAGAAUAUCACCUGCGAAAAGGAGAACGCGUGGCUCAAUCAAUUUUCCGAGCGGACGAAAACCAAAGCUUGUUGAAUGAAAGAGCGAUCGUCGGUGAUCCAUCCAUCUACCAUCCAUCAUAAUGCGAGUUAGGCCCGAAUCGAGAAUUAAUCCGUCAAAACCGGCCUGCGCGCGGCACAUUGCCAAAUUCACAAUUGAUCAAUGGGCCUUUGCUGGCGGCAAAGCGCGGUCAGCAGCGGUAAACCUUCGCCAGGCUUUGGCCACUGGUCAGUAAAGGCAAAGAAACAGCUGAGGAGCGGAGCCCCAAAACAAACGAGGCAAAUUAAGUGGUUUAAGGCGCUAAGACCGUUGAUGGAUGUGCCGCUGGCAAAUGCCAUAUAAAGAUAUACCUGUGCAUGUUAUCAAUUACAAAGAGGCAGCGCCCACAAUCGGACCAAUUAGCCAGUCAGGGCAGUCAGGCCAGUCAGCGGUGAUCAAAGGGUUUCACGCCGCUUUCACAUUUGAGCCGUUGCCGUUCCGCUGGCGCCCACAACCCACCGCCCACCACGCACCCACCCAGCGCUCGAGGAAUUGGGAAAAUGGGGUGGCCACCUUUACUCUUUCUAUCCAAUCCGACCUUCGAUCCGGCAGCCAUCGCUCCACGCCACUGGAUUUGCAUCUGGCGCUAUUAGCACAUUGACCGAACAGCCCAAAAGCCGAAUCGCACUGGCUGAGGUCAUAGUUAUAAACGACGGUAUCGGGUCCCAAGCCUGAUGGUUUUUCCCUUGCUCGACAUCGUCGUAUCGAUAAUUGGCGGCGCUAUUGGGGGAUUGGAUGGAUGGACAAUCCCCGACUUCUCCACGACUGGAGGCGUCAAAAUUACAUCCACUAAGUCUGGUGUAUUAUUGGAUCAUAUAGCACGUUUCGACAUCGGAAAGAAAGGCGUAUUGUGAAACAGUUAUGUCUUGAUAGAAUUUGUUAAUUUGAUUCCCUUUACAAACAACAGUACAACAAAAAUUGUGAACUCAGCACAUAGUUAAUAUACCCAU
Molecule: non-coding RNA, 2824 nt
Organism: Drosophila melanogaster (fruit fly)
Lineage: Eukaryota; Metazoa; Arthropoda; Insecta; Diptera; Drosophilidae
Source: Ensembl